RNAcentral lists this ribosomal RNA (253 nucleotides) under uncultured bacterium. Its description in RNAcentral is "partial 16S ribosomal RNA". It matches the Rfam family "Bacterial small subunit ribosomal RNA", at positions 524 to 776 of the family's 1533-position model. The record is from RNAcentral.
UACGAAGGGGGCUAGCGUUGCUCGGAAUCACUGGGCGUAAAGCGCACGUAGGCGGCUUUCUAAGUCAGGGGUGAAAUCCUGGAGCUCAACUCCAGAACUGCCUUUGAUACUGGAGAGCUUGAGUCCGGGAGAGGUGAGUGGAACUCCGAGUGUAGAGGUGAAAUUCGUAGAUAUACGGAAGAACACCAGUGGCGAAGGCGGCUCACUGGCCCGGUACUGACGCUGAGGUGCGAAAGCGUGGGGAGCAAACAGG